CAGGACAGGUACAGAACAGGCAGCCACAGUGCGAGCUUUCCCCCACCACCCCAUCCAUGUGCCUCAACCCUAACCUGGAGGGACUACCUCUAGA
Molecule: unclassified non-coding RNA, 94 nt
Organism: Ictidomys tridecemlineatus (thirteen-lined ground squirrel)
Lineage: Eukaryota; Metazoa; Chordata; Mammalia; Rodentia; Sciuridae
Source: Ensembl